GUGCUCGCUUUGGCAGCACAUAUACUAAAAUUGGAGUGAUACAGAGAAGAUUAGCAUGGCCCCUGCACAAGGAUGACACGCAAAUUCGUGAAGUGUUUUAUAUUUUU
Molecule: small nuclear RNA, 107 nt
Organism: Gorilla gorilla gorilla (western lowland gorilla)
Lineage: Eukaryota; Metazoa; Chordata; Mammalia; Primates; Hominidae
Source: Ensembl